AAAACAAGAAGUAUUACUAAAUUCCCUAAAGUUUUCUCCUUUCUUUAAAGUUUGAUAUUGAUAUUUUAUCUUUAUUUAUAUAACACGUUAUCAGCACGAAACCCUACCGUAUCAAAAUUUAAAGGCUAAGAAGUUAAUGAGGUGUACGCCCACCAUGCUAGGCGUGGAAAAGGUCAGGGAUCUGAUUCCGGACGUGGACGUGGUCGUGAUUAUGGUCAAGAAAGAAAUCAUGUUCCUGGUGUUAAUCAUUCAACAAAGAAAGGACACCGUCAAAAGAAACAAGGAAAAGAUGAGAAAUGUGAUGCUGUUAGAGCAUUUGUUUGUUUUUUAUGUGGUGCAAAGGGACACUAUGCACGUGACUGUGGCACGCCCAAGCACUUGGUUGAGCUUUACCAAGCAUCACAAAAGAAGAAAGAAAAAAAUUCUGAAGCUAAUUUUUUCACUGAAAAUCAUGUUGACAUCACACACUUGGAUGUAACAGAUUUCUUCGAGCACCCUGAAGAAAAAAUAGAUCACUUGAUUGGUGAUGGUUCUGUGCCGAUGGAAGAAUAACAAAUUUGUUUAUUUUUGCUAAUAGUAGUAAUUAGUAAACUAAAGAUCAUGUAAUAGUAGUUGUUUGUAUGAGUACUAGUCUUUUAAUUAGUUUUUUUUUACUAGUCAUAUUAUCGUAAGUUCAUUAGUAAAGUGAAUCCUUUUUGGUCC
Molecule: long non-coding RNA, 702 nt
Organism: Capsicum annuum
Lineage: Eukaryota; Viridiplantae; Streptophyta; Magnoliopsida; Solanales; Solanaceae
Exons: 2
Source: RefSeq, a predicted model, not a curated record